RNAcentral lists this microRNA precursor (140 nucleotides) under Gossypium arboreum. RNAcentral describes it as "MIR7502 microRNA precursor family". It matches the Rfam family "MIR7502 microRNA precursor family". Lineage: Eukaryota; Viridiplantae; Streptophyta; Magnoliopsida; Malvales; Malvaceae. The record is from Rfam by way of RNAcentral.
AGUUAACAAUUCCAUCUAUUUGUGUUGUUAAAAACUAGCAAGACUAACAAAAUAACCAUGUCUUGUACAUGUCUUGUACCACGUGUAUCUAAUGCAUAGGAAUCAAUUUUUAACAAUAAAAAUAGAUGGAAUUUUUAACA